RNAcentral lists this long non-coding RNA (330 nucleotides) under Phasianus colchicus (ring-necked pheasant). RNAcentral describes it as "lncRNA (ENSPCLG00000015195.1)". Lineage: Eukaryota; Metazoa; Chordata; Aves; Galliformes; Phasianidae. The record is from RNAcentral.
AUGGCCGAGGCCGGGCCGCCCUGCACCCUACAGACCCUUAUAGGGCACCUGGACGGGUUCCACGCUGCGCUCAGCGCCUGCGCCCUGGACCCGCAGCUGCUGCUGCAGUUCUUCCGGCAGCUGUGCUACCGCGUCUGCGCCGCCUGCCUCAACCACCUGCUGCUGCGCAAGGAGCUCUGCGCAUGGCCUGUGGGGCUGCAGCUGCGGUACGGAUAUGGGCUCUAUGGGGUCCUAUGGGGUCCUAUGGGGUCCUAUGGGGUCCUAUGGGGUCCUUAUGGGCUCUUAUGGGGUCUUAUGUGAGAUUUAUGGGAUCCUAUGGGGUUCUAUGGG